RNAcentral lists this long non-coding RNA (723 nucleotides) under Equus caballus (horse). RNAcentral describes it as "lncRNA (ENSECAG00000045099.1)". The record is from RNAcentral. Lineage: Eukaryota; Metazoa; Chordata; Mammalia; Perissodactyla; Equidae.
GUGAGAGAUGGUUGUAGCUUGGACAAGGAUUUAGCGCAUAGGUGGUGAGAAGUGGUCAGACUCUGCAUGUAUUUUGAAAGAAGAGCUGACAGGAUCUGCUAAAGGACUAGACAGAGAAUGUGUAGGAAGGAGAGAAGUCAAGGAGGACGUCAGGGUUUGGGGCCUGAGCCAUGCGGGGGGUGGGGCAGGGGGUUGGAGUUGCCAUUCACUGAGAUGGGAAAUGCUUUGCAAGAAGCAGAGAGCUCUGUAUGGAACAUAUUAAGUUGAGACGCUAAUGAGACACCUGAAUGGAGCCUGGACUUAGGGAAGAUGUCCGCGUUGGAGAUAGAAAUUUGGCAGUCAUCCACAUAUAGAUGGUAUUUCAAGUCACCAGAUGGAAUGAGAUCACCAAAGAAAGUGGAAUGUAAUAUUUCAGCUUAACUCAAUAUCCAAGACCAUCUGCCAAGGACUUCACUUUCUUCCUCUGCUGGAGGAUGUCAGUCUUUCUAGCAACUGAUUUGCAGCCGGCAAUUGUUCACCUUGGGCUGAGGACUAAAGUCCAAACGAAUCUGUUGACCUCAGCUGCAGCUGGUAAUUACUUCUUCGCUUGUUUGUUUCCUGUUGUGGAUUUCCAGCAUUCAAGUUGCACAGAUUCAAAAAUUUGGAAGGACAAAGGAAUAAGUAGUCACUCUUUGGAGAAAUGAACAAAUAGUUCCAAGUCAUCUGGGCUAAUCAAGCAGUCAC